Oncorhynchus kisutch (coho salmon) is the source of this 1086-nucleotide long non-coding RNA. RefSeq lists it as uncharacterized. The record is from RefSeq and is a predicted model, not a curated record. The transcript has 3 exons. Lineage: Eukaryota; Metazoa; Chordata; Actinopteri; Salmoniformes; Salmonidae.
GCCUUUGUGAUCAUAUGAAACAAGCGUGGUGCCAUGCCGAGUUAGCCCAGGCCUCAUAAUGUGGAUUGAUCUUCCUGUUCAGGCCGAUCUACCAGAUCUACCUCAGCUCCCGUAGCUCCAGCCUGAGGGGCUCCAGUGGCCACCCUGUCUGUCCCUAUCCUCCUCUGCCUCUGUAAAGAUUAGCCUUGAAGUUGGUCUCCCCUCAGCCACAAAGCGCUGUUCUAUUGACUGGUUCCAGGGAGAGUAUUGAUGGCUCCAAAAUUUGGGCAAGGGAACACAAAAAGGCUGACCCCCGCUGGGCUCAGCACGACAGCCGAGUCAGCAGGGAGGCUUGCAUUUAUUAGCCUGGGAGAGGAGCUCCUGCAGAAUUAAAGCACAUUCACCCAUCCAUUGAUCUCUGUCAGGAAAACAAUACCCGCCCCUCUCUGGCAGCGAGCUAGGCGCUGCACGGCUCUGAGGUAAUGUACUGUAGCAGCCAUUGAAAACAAGAUGCCUCACACCCUCGGGCUCCAAGUAAACUGUCUGAAAAGUGAGAGGAAUGGGAUGAGAAUAACUAACACAUUGGAUUAUCAAUCCACCUGUCCAAUUGUGUUUUGCAGUGAAUGGUAAAUAAAAUGUGGAGGGAUGUGAAUAUGGGCCCUUUGUGUGCUUACUAAGGGGAGAGAACAGUCUUUGGGUUUUUGCGUUGUGACAUGUUUUGUGACAUGUUGUUUGAAUGCUUCCAUGCAUACUAGUUCCCAGGUUCUGUCUAUGGAAGUGGAGUGUUGAGGUGUGCCUGUGGAUGAUAUCCUUGACAUAACUGGCUGUGUCUAACCUUCUGUACGGCUUAAGGCCCGCACGGGCUGGAAGAUUUUAGCCGUCUUAUGCCAUGAUUUUGCCGUCCUAGACAACAUUUCCACGUCGUGAGCAAAUUCUUAGGUCGUUAACGACUGUCGGACGUCUUGGCUCGUUUAGUGUGACAGGGUCUAGGUCUGCCGAUUAAGUAACACUACGUGCGGUCUUAGGCGCCGACGAAGUUCUGUCAGUGUCAGAAAUAUGUGGCUGGUGUAACGAACCUUGACUUUUUCCACAUUUUGUUGUGUUCUG